GAUAAUGGAAUACCCCUCUGUCCUCCUAUUUUCAGUUGGUUUUGGCAGCGCGAGGACUARGGUAAUGAUUAAUAGGGAUAGUUGGGGGCAUUAAUAUUUAAUUGUCAGAGGUGAAAUUCUUGGAUUUAUGAAAGAUUAACUUCUGCGAAAGCAUCUGCCAAGGAUGUUUUCAUUAAUCAAGAACGAAAGUUAGGGGAUCGAAGACGAUCAGAUACCGUCGUAGUCUUAACCAUAAACGAUGCCGACCAGCGAUUAGGAGACGUUGAAUACAAAACACCACCAUCGGUGGGGGCGAUCCUGGGGGUC
This 306-nucleotide ribosomal RNA is filed under the name Acanthamoeba sp. RNAcentral's name for it is "SSU rRNA". The record is from RNAcentral. Lineage: Eukaryota; Discosea; Longamoebia; Acanthamoebidae.